RNAcentral lists this ribosomal RNA (253 nucleotides) under uncultured bacterium. Its description in RNAcentral is "partial 16S ribosomal RNA". It matches the Rfam family "Bacterial small subunit ribosomal RNA", at positions 524 to 776 of the family's 1533-position model. The record is from RNAcentral.
UACGUAGGGGGCAAGCGUUGUCCGGAUUUAUUGGGCGUAAAGAGCGUGUAGGCGGCUUGGUAGGUCCGCUGUGAAAACUCGAGGCUCAACCUCGAGAUGUCGGCGGAAACCACUUGGCUAGAGUCCGGAAGAGGAGAGUGGAGUUCCCGGUGUAGCGGUGAAAUGCGCAGAUAUCGGGAAGAACACCUAUGGCGAAGGCAGCUCUCUGGGACGGUACUGACGCUGAGACGCGAAAGCGUGGGGAGCGAACAGG